UAAUAUAUAGGUAACGUGCCCUAGAUAAGAGGAUAACAUCUGGAAACGGUUGCUAAGACUCUAUAUGCCUUUAAGACAUAAGUCUGCAAGGGAAAUAUUUAUAGCUCUAGGAUCGGCCUGUACGGUAUCAGCUUGUUGGUGAGGUAAUGGCUCACCAAGGCAAUGACACCUAACUGGUUUGAGAGGAUGAUCAGUCACACUGGAACUGAGACACGGUCCAGACUCCUACGGGAGGCAGCAGUGGGGAAUAUUGCACAAUGGACGAAAGUCUGAUGCAUCAACGCCGCGUGGAGGAUGACACUUUUCGGUGCGUAAACUCCUUUUAUAUAGGAAGAUAAUGACGGUACUAUAUGAAUAAGCGCCGGCUAACUCCGUGCCAGCAGCCGCGGUAAUACGUGAGGGCGCAAGCGUUACUCGGAAUCACUGGGCGUAAAGAGCGUGUAGGCGGGUUA
This 452-nucleotide ribosomal RNA is filed under the name uncultured Arcobacter sp. RNAcentral describes it as "bacterial SSU rRNA". It matches the Rfam family "Bacterial small subunit ribosomal RNA", at positions 111 to 582 of the family's 1533-position model. The record is from RNAcentral. Lineage: Bacteria; Pseudomonadati; Campylobacterota; Epsilonproteobacteria; Campylobacterales; Arcobacteraceae.